RNAcentral lists this small nucleolar RNA (107 nucleotides) under Corchorus capsularis. RNAcentral describes it as "Plant small nucleolar RNA R71". It matches the Rfam family "Plant small nucleolar RNA R71". Rfam says of the family: R71 is a member of the C/D box family of snoRNAs containing the C (UGAUGA) and D (CUGA) box motifs. Multiple nearly identical copies of this snoRNA have been identified in Arabidopsis, and it is thought to function as a 2'-O-ribose methylation guide for 18S ribosomal RNA. The record is from Rfam by way of RNAcentral. Lineage: Eukaryota; Viridiplantae; Streptophyta; Magnoliopsida; Malvales; Malvaceae.
AUGGCAUGUUGAGGGCAAUCGUCACAAAGUUUCUUGAAUCUUUCCCAAGCUUGGAAAAAAUUCUCAUCUUUGCGUUGUCGAAAGUUUGCAAUCCUUUGUCUCCCUUU